GGAGUUUGUAAAAGCAGUUUAGAGCGGUCUUUAAUAUCACCGCCAAUAUGGUAAGGAAGACCACAGUUCGCGAACGACACAAAGGCCCGCGUUCUAACAUGAUAAUUUCAGCGUCUUCACUCAAACGUCGAGCUCGAGCAGCGGCAGAAGCACCACCCGCAACACCAC
This 168-nucleotide antisense RNA is filed under the name Vibrio maritimus. RNAcentral's name for it is "Vibrio sp. R-40493 Vibrio RNA AS7". It matches the Rfam family "Vibrio RNA AS7". From Rfam's summary of the family: Identified by direct cloning an parallel sequencing experiments with 5S/tRNA depletion. Confirmed by Northern blot. The record is from Rfam by way of RNAcentral. Lineage: Bacteria; Pseudomonadati; Pseudomonadota; Gammaproteobacteria; Vibrionales; Vibrionaceae.